AACGAACGCUGGCGGCAUGCCUAACACAUGCAAGUCGAACGAGACCUUCGGGUCUAGUGGCGCACGGGUGCGUAACGCGUGGGAACCUGCCCUUAGGUUCGGAAUAACUCCCCGAAAGGGGUGCUAAUACCGGAUAAUGUCUUCGGACCAAAGAUUUAUCGCCUUUGGAUGGGCCCGCGUUGGAUUAGCUAGUUGGUAGUGUAAAAGCCUACCAAGGCGACGAUCCAUAGCUGGUCUGAGAGGAUGAUCAGCCACACUGGGACUGAGACACGGCCCAGACUCCUACGGGAGGCAGCAGUGGGGAAUAUUGGACAAGGGGCGAAAGCCUGAUCCAGCAAUGCCGCGUGAGUGAUGAAGGCCUUAGGGUUGUAAAGCUCUUCUACCCGGGAUGAUAAUGACAGUACCGGGAGAAUAAGCUCCGGCUAACUCCGUG
This 433-nucleotide ribosomal RNA is filed under the name uncultured bacterium. Its description in RNAcentral is "partial 16S ribosomal RNA". It matches the Rfam family "Bacterial small subunit ribosomal RNA", at positions 29 to 507 of the family's 1533-position model. The record is from RNAcentral.